RNAcentral lists this ribosomal RNA (465 nucleotides) under Vreelandella stevensii. Its description in RNAcentral is "partial 16S ribosomal RNA". It matches the Rfam family "Bacterial small subunit ribosomal RNA", at positions 338 to 795 of the family's 1533-position model. Lineage: Bacteria; Pseudomonadati; Pseudomonadota; Gammaproteobacteria; Oceanospirillales; Halomonadaceae. The record is from RNAcentral.
CCUACGGGUGGCAGCAGUGGGGAAUAUUGGACAAUGGGGGGAACCCUGAUCCAGCCAUGCCGCGUGUGUGAAGAAGGCCCUCGGGUUGUAAAGCACUUUCAGUGAGGAAGAACGCCUGGUGGUUAAUACCCAUCAGGAAAGACAUCACUCACAGAAGAAGCACCGGCUAACUCCGUGCCAGCAGCCGCGGUAAUACGGAGGGUGCGAGCGUUAAUCGGAAUUACUGGGCGUAAAGCGCGCGUAGGUGGCUUGAUAAGCCGGUUGUGAAAGCCCCGGGCUCAACCUGGGAACGGCAUCCGGAACUGUCAAGCUAGAGUGCAGGAGAGGAAGGUAGAAUUCCAGGUGUAGCGGUGAAAUGCGUAGAGAUCGGGAGGAAUACCAGUGGCGAAGGCGGCCUUCUGGACUGACACUGACACUGAGGUGCGAAAGCGUGGGUAGCAAACAGGAUUAGAUACCCCAGUAGUC